This 28-nucleotide non-coding RNA is filed under the name Mus musculus (house mouse). Lineage: Eukaryota; Metazoa; Chordata; Mammalia; Rodentia; Muridae. The record is from RNAcentral.
AACAGACAAACAAAAAACCACUCUCUGC